UUAAGCAUAUCAAUAAGCGGAGGAAAAGAAACCAACAGGGAUUGCCCCAGUAACGGCGAGUGAAGCGGCAACAGCUCAAAUUUGAAAUCUGGCCCCUAGGGUCCGAGUUGUAAUUUGUAGAGGAUGCUUUUGGUGAGGUGCCGCCCGAGUUCCCUGGAACGGGACGCCGCAGAGGGUGAGAGCCCCGUCUGGCUGGCCACCGAGCCUCUGUAAAGCUCCUUCAACGAGUCGAGUAGUUUGGGAAUGCUGCUCAAAAUGGGAGGUAUAUGUCUUCUAAAGCUAAAUAUUGGCCAGAGACCGAUAGCGCACAAGUAGAGUGAUCGAAAGAUGAAAAGCACCUUGAAAAGAGGGUUAAACAGUACGUGAAAUUGUUGAAAGGGAAGCGCUUGUGACCAGACUUGGGCGCGGCGGAUCAUCCGGGGUUCUCCCCGGUGCACUUCGCCGCGUUCAGGCCAGCAUCAGUUCGGCGCGGGGGAAAAAGGCUUCGGGAACGUGGCUCCUCCGGGAGUGUUAUAGCCCGUUGCAUAAUACCCUGUGCUGGACUGAGGACCGCGCAUCUGCAAGGAUGCUGGCGUA
RNAcentral lists this ribosomal RNA (576 nucleotides) under Trichoderma viride. RNAcentral describes it as "eukaryotic LSU rRNA". It matches the Rfam family "Eukaryotic large subunit ribosomal RNA", at positions 34 to 633 of the family's 3401-position model. The record is from RNAcentral. Lineage: Eukaryota; Fungi; Ascomycota; Sordariomycetes; Hypocreales; Hypocreaceae.